Molecule: ribosomal RNA, 500 nt
Filed under: uncultured bacterium
Lineage: Bacteria
Description: partial 16S ribosomal RNA
Rfam family: Bacterial small subunit ribosomal RNA
Source: RNAcentral
AUUGAACGCUGGCGGAAUACUUUACACAUGCAAGUCGAACGGCAGCACGGACUUCGGUCUGGUGGCGAGUGGCGAACGGGUGAGUAAUACAUCGGAACGUGCCCAGUCGUGGGGGAUCACGUAGCGAAAGCUACGCUAAUACCGCAUACGAUCUAAGGAUGAAAGCGGGGGGUCGCAAGACCUCGCGCGAUUGGAGCGGCCGAUGGCAGAUUAGGUAGUUGGUAGGGUAAAGGCCUACCAAGCCGACGAUCUGUAGCUGGUCUGAGAGGACGACCAGCCACACUGGGACUGAGACACGGCCCAGACUCCUACGGGAGGCAGCAGUGGGGAAUUUUGGACAAUGGACGCAAGUCUGAUCCAGCCAUUCCGCGUGCAGGAUGAAGGCCCUCGGGUUGUAAACUGCUUUUGUACAGAACGAAAAGGCUCUGGUUAAUACCUGGAGCUCAUGACGGUACUGUAAGAAUAAGCACCGGCUAACUACGUGCCAGCCGCCGCUGUAA